CUCAUCGAGUGAACUGACCAUAAUGUUUGCUGCCCGUGUACUUCAUCUCAUGGCUGCCCUUGCUGUGUUAGCCGCACUUGCUGCUGCUUCGCCUACUGAAGAUCAUCAAUGGCCUCCAGAAGGCUGGUGGAAACAUUAAGAUGAAGAGAUGGAAAAGCCACCAAAGGAGCGUAUAAUGCCUGCAAGCAAUGCUUAUCUGAUUUAAAUAAAAUGAUCAUGCAAGUCUA
Molecule: long non-coding RNA, 227 nt
Organism: Polypterus senegalus (gray bichir)
Lineage: Eukaryota; Metazoa; Chordata; Cladistia; Polypteriformes; Polypteridae
Exons: 4
Source: RefSeq, a predicted model, not a curated record